GCAGAAAGUGAUGAAUCAGAGGCUGAAGUGAAGUUACAAAGUUAUACUCCUAUGCAAAGGAAGACUUGGCCUGUGACCAGCCUGAUUGACUGCAGGAGGGGACCAGUCAGAGUUUUCAGCUUUCCUCCACUGUUUUGGGAAACGUCACCUUCUUAUCUUGGAAGAGUAAUCUCAAAAUUGAAGCAUCUUAGAUCCAACAAGAAUUAAAAGGAUGGGAAGUCCUUGCAGCCAUCCAAUAGAGUCAGAAGACUUUGGAUUUUGGAGUCUGUGAGAUUAUCUUACAGAGCAAGACUGCAGAUCAAGAUUUUCCAACGUGGUGCUGACUUUUUUGAGAACAGUUAAUGAGAACUAGGAAAGUCCUUGCAGACCAUCCAGUCCAGCGGCUUUCAAAUGGAAAAUGUGAAAGGACAACAGAAUCACAUGGAUUCUUUUCUGAACUGCUUUUUUCCAGUGAUGCCAUAUUCUAUAAGACUUCAUGUGAAGGUGUGGAGGACGGGUAAUGUCUGAAUCUUCCAGGCAAUGAGAGGGAUGGUGUGAGUCUGGAAAUUCUUUGUGAUGGUCUGAGACUCCCCUUACUCCAGUUAAGAACACUGACUUAAUUCGAUCUGGUUUUUUUUAACAAAUGGCCUCUGAGACGUAGAGCAGUGAGGAUAAGGACUCUUACCCGGUUACAGAGUGGAGUAAGGGCUAGAACUCAACUCUUAAAAAUUUCAAAUGCAAUGUUCUUUCUACAAUAUUGUGCCUACUUCUUCACUUCUGCUUAUAGGCAACUUCCUUUUCCUUUAAUUCUCUAAUAUUUGGAGGGCACGUCACAACUUAUACACUUGCUCUAUAUGUUUUACAUUGCUUCUCAUGGUUUCUCAUGCAUAAGUAUAGUAUUUUCUUAUAUUUUAAAUUUUCUAAGAACAGGUAACCUAUUUUAAACUCCCCUUGCAAUUAUGCAGGUAACUAACACAUUGAUGAUAAGCUAAUAUUAAGAGAGCAAAAUAGUUGAUGAUUAGUUUAUUAGUAUCUCAAAAUAAUCCAUUUGAUGUGCUAAGGUGCUAUUAGUUACAACAUUUCAAGUAUACAUGCAAUUCUUGUUAGAAAUAUUAUCCACCUUUUGAAAUACAUGUUGAUUAAAGACUAACAUGGGCUGUGGGCAUAGGUACAGUAACAGCAUACCAUAGGCCGGAGAAAGAGUUGACUUUGGAGGUCCAAGAUCAAGAAGCAGGAUGUCUAACAGGGCUCUUGAGAAUUCUAGGGCAGCCGGUACUCGAAAGGCAAGAUUUGAUUGUGAAUGAUUUCAUGCAACUCCGUUGGUUAAUAAGCAAAUCCUGCCCACACUUGUGGAUAACAUGGAAGCUACCUGAGCAGGUAAAGGCUAAGACAGAAGAUCCAUGAACAGAACUGGAGUUUUGAUAAUUCACCAGGAACUUGGUUACUUUGUUGUACCUUUUAUGCUUUUAUAUUUCUUCUUCCCUUUCAUUUCCAUGCAAUGUAUUUAUAACUUGUAGCUAGAUUUUUAGAUUACUGCCAGACAAAUUCAGUCAAUUUAAUUAAUUAGGCAAAUUAAAGUGAAAAUUAUGUUUUAGGGGCUGUUAAAAUUUAUAAGACAUUAGCACAUUCUUCUCAUGUGCUUUUAUUAUUAUUACAAAUGUUGUUUCAUAAUUAGCCAUGUGUUAAUUGUUAGCUUGGGGAAUGAUUUACGUGUUUAAAAUUGGGAGAAAUCAUUUUGGCUAUGGCUACCUCUUUUAAUUUACUUACAUAUUUUUUUCCCAUCACACAGUGUUUGACUUUUACAACCACAUACAUUUUGAUUAGAACCUGAAAUAAUUCAGUAAAACAAGAUGAUGGUUUUUUGUUCUGCUCAAUCUUUGUAUCAUAACCUUCACUUCUCAAUGCUCAAAUGAUGGAAUGAAAAGUGGACAAUUCUUGACUGCA
Molecule: long non-coding RNA, 1923 nt
Filed under: Homo sapiens (human)
Lineage: Eukaryota; Metazoa; Chordata; Mammalia; Primates; Hominidae
Description: uncharacterized LOC105375523, transcript variant 4 (LOC105375523)
Source: RNAcentral